UUAAUUGAAGCCAAAGAGAGGCUUAUCACUGUUAAUGAUAGAACUGAGAGUCAUCUCCAAUUAAG
This 65-nucleotide transfer RNA is filed under the name Tetanops sintenisi. RNAcentral describes it as "tRNA-Asn". The record is from RNAcentral. Lineage: Eukaryota; Metazoa; Arthropoda; Insecta; Diptera; Ulidiidae.